UACGGAGGGGGCUAGCGUUGUUCGGAAUUACUGGGCGUAAAGCGCACGUAGGCGGAUAUUUAAGUCAGGGGUGAAAUCCCGGGGCUCAACCCCGGAACUGCCUUUGAUACUGGGUAUCUGGAGGUCGAGAGAGGCGAGUGGAAUUCCGAGUGUAGAGGUGAAAUUCGUAGAUAUUCGGAGGAGCACCAGUGGCGAAGGCGGCUCGCUGGCUCGAUACUGACGCUGAGGUGCGAAAGCGUGGGGAGCAAACAGG
This 253-nucleotide ribosomal RNA is filed under the name uncultured bacterium. Its description in RNAcentral is "partial 16S ribosomal RNA". It matches the Rfam family "Bacterial small subunit ribosomal RNA", at positions 524 to 776 of the family's 1533-position model. The record is from RNAcentral.